CCAUCAUGGAGUAUAUCCAUUUCCGGAGC
RNAcentral lists this small RNA (29 nucleotides) under Bombyx mori (domestic silkworm). Its description in RNAcentral is "ovarian small RNA-13590". Lineage: Eukaryota; Metazoa; Arthropoda; Insecta; Lepidoptera; Bombycidae. The record is from RNAcentral.